RNAcentral lists this ribosomal RNA (346 nucleotides) under uncultured bacterium. Its description in RNAcentral is "bacterial SSU rRNA". It matches the Rfam family "Bacterial small subunit ribosomal RNA", at positions 917 to 1264 of the family's 1533-position model. The record is from RNAcentral.
GGGCCCGCACAAGCGGUGGAGUAUGUGGUUUAAUUCGAUGCAACGCGAAGAACCUUACCAGGGUUUGACAUCCUGCGAAUCUCUUGGAAACAGGAGAGUGCCUUCGGGAACGCAGUGACAGGUGGUGCAUGGCUGUCGUCAGCUCGUGUCGUGAGAUGUUGGGUUAAGUCCCGCAACGAGCGCAACCCACGUCUUUAGUUGCCAGCAUUUAGUUGGGCACUUUAAAAGAACUGCCAGUGAUAAGCUGGAGGAAGGUGGGGAUGACGUCAAGUCCUCAUGGCCCUUACAUCCUGGGCUACACACGUACUACAAUGCUACGGACAAAGGGCAGCAAGUUCGCGAGGAC